Molecule: ribosomal RNA, 253 nt
Filed under: uncultured prokaryote
Description: partial 16S ribosomal RNA
Rfam family: Bacterial small subunit ribosomal RNA
Source: RNAcentral
ACAGAGGUGGCAAGCGUUGUUCGGAAUUACUGGGCGUAAAGGACGCGUAGGCGGCCAUCUAAGUCAGACGUGAAAUCCCCCGGCUUAACCUGGGAACUGCGUCUGAUACUGGACGGCUUGAGUAUGGGAGAGGGAUGUAGAAUUCCAGGUGUAGCGGUGAAAUGCGUAGAGAUCUGGAGGAACACCCGUGGCGAAGGCGGCGCCCUGGUCCGUUUCUGACGCUGAGACGCGAAAGCGCGGGGAGCGAACGGGA